This 63-nucleotide transfer RNA is filed under the name Kuphus sp. PMS-3700M. RNAcentral describes it as "tRNA-Ser". Lineage: Eukaryota; Metazoa; Mollusca; Bivalvia; Myida; Teredinidae. The record is from RNAcentral.
GAUCCUCGUGGGAUAUGGUUGAUUUGAAGUCAGUCUAAGGGUGUUCGAUUCAUCUAAGGAUCU